CAGUAGCCACGGUAAUACGGAGGGAGCUAGCGUUGUUCGGAAUUACUGGGCGUAAAGCGCACGUAGGCGGCUUUGUAAGUUAGAGGUGAAAGCCUGGAGCUCAACUCCAGAAUUGCCUUUAAGACUGCAUCGCUUGAAUCCGAGAGAGGUGAGUGGAAUUCCGAGUGUAGAGGUGAAAUUCGUAGAUAUUCGGAAGAACACCAGUGGCGAAGGCGGCUCACUGGCUCGGUAUUGACGCUGAGGUGCGAAAGCGUGGGGAGCAAACAGGAUUAGAUACCCGGGUAGUCCCUGUCUCUUAUAC
Molecule: ribosomal RNA, 301 nt
Filed under: uncultured bacterium
Lineage: Bacteria
Description: partial 16S ribosomal RNA
Rfam family: Bacterial small subunit ribosomal RNA
Source: RNAcentral